Molecule: ribosomal RNA, 513 nt
Filed under: uncultured fungus
Lineage: Eukaryota; Fungi
Description: eukaryotic LSU rRNA
Rfam family: 5.8S ribosomal RNA (bases 150-303)
Source: RNAcentral
CCCUUUGUUUAAUCUACCAUGUUGCUUUGGCGGGCCCGCCCCUUCUGGGGGCCGCCGGGGGUUUUAUUUCCCUUGGCCAGUGCUUGCCAGAUGCCUAUUUAAAUUCUUUUUAUAACUGUGAUGUCUGAAAAUAAAUUUUAAAUCGUUAAAACUUUCAACAACGGAUCUCUUGGUUCUGGCAUCGAUGAAGAACGCAGCGAAAUGCGAUAAGUAAUGCGAAUUGCAGAAUUCAGUGAGUCAUCGAAUCUUUGAACGCACAUUGCGCCCUUUGGUAUUCCGAAGGGCAUGCCUGUUCGAGCGUCAUUAUCAACCCUCAAGCCUGGCUUGUUAUUGGACUCUGUCGCAGGUUACCCGCGACAGGUUUAAAAGAUAACGAUGGUGUCUGUCCGACCCUAGAUGCAACGAGCUUUUUAUGGCACGCAUCGAAGUGGUUGGCAGGCCCGGUCUGAACUAUUUUUCUUUUAAGGUUGACCUCGGAUCAGGUAGGAAUACCCGCUGAACUUAAGCAUAUCA